Molecule: ribosomal RNA, 465 nt
Filed under: uncultured bacterium
Lineage: Bacteria
Description: partial 16S ribosomal RNA
Rfam family: Bacterial small subunit ribosomal RNA
Source: RNAcentral
GACGAACGCUGGCGGCGUGCUUAACACAUGCAAGUCGAACGGAAAGGCCCCUUUGGGGGUACUCGAGUGGCUAACGGGUGAGUAACACGUGAGUAACCUGCCCUUGACUUCGGGAUAACUUCAGGAAACUGGGGCUAAUACCGGAUAGGAAUCCUUGCUGCAUGGUGGGGGUUGGAAAGCUUCGGCGGUUUUGGAUGGACUCGCGGCUUAUCAGCUUGUUGGUGGGGUAGUGGCUUACCAAGGCUUUGACGGGUAGCCGGCCUGAGAGGGCGACCGGCCACAUUGGGACUGAGAUACGGCCCAGACUCCUACGGGAGGCAGCAGUGGGGAAUAUUGCACAAUGGGCGGAAGCCUGAUGCAGCAACGCCGCGUGCGGGAUGACGGCCUUCGGGUUGUAAACCGCUUUCAGCAGGGGCGAAGCUUGUGGUGACGGUACCUGCAGAAGAAGCACCGGCUAACUACGUG